Molecule: non-coding RNA, 45 nt
Filed under: Schistosoma margrebowiei
Lineage: Eukaryota; Metazoa; Platyhelminthes; Trematoda; Strigeidida; Schistosomatidae
Source: RNAcentral
AUUUAGAUGACGAGUCCCAAACAGAACCAAACAUGUGUCAUGGAU